RNAcentral lists this ribosomal RNA (595 nucleotides) under uncultured Hyphomicrobiaceae bacterium. Its description in RNAcentral is "bacterial SSU rRNA". It matches the Rfam family "Bacterial small subunit ribosomal RNA", at positions 116 to 746 of the family's 1533-position model. Lineage: Bacteria; Pseudomonadati; Pseudomonadota; Alphaproteobacteria; Hyphomicrobiales; Hyphomicrobiaceae. The record is from RNAcentral.
CGUGGGAACCUUCCCAGUGGUACGGAAUAGCUCAGGGAAACUUGAGGUAAUACCGUAUACGCCCCUCGGGGGAAAGAUUUAUCGCCAUUGGAUGGGCCCGCGUCGGAUUAGCUAGUUGGUGGGGUAAUGGCCUACCAAGGCGACGAUCCGUAGCUGGUCUGAGAGGAUGAUCAGCCACACUGGGACUGAGACACGGCCCAGACUCCUACGGGAGGCAGCAGUAGGGAAUAUUGGACAAUGGGCGAAAGCCUGAUCCAGCCAUGCCGCGUGAGUGACGAAGGCCUUCGGGUUGUAAAGCUCUUUUGGCGGGGACGAUAAUGACGGUACCCGCAGAAUAAGCUCCGGCUAACUUCGUGCCAGCAGCCGCGGUAAUACGAAGGGAGCUAGCGUUGUUCGGAAUCACUGGGCGUAAAGCGCACGUAGGCGGAUGUGUCAGUCAGGGGUGAAAUCCCGGAGCUCAACUUCGGAACUGCCCUUGAUACAGCACAUCUGGAGUCCGGAAGAGGUGGGUGGAAUUCCUAGUGUAGAGGUGAAAUUCGUAGAUAUUAGGAAGAACACCGGUGGCGAAGGCGGCCCACUGGUCCGGUACUGACGC